This 282-nucleotide unclassified non-coding RNA is filed under the name Hevea brasiliensis (rubber tree). The record is from RNAcentral. Lineage: Eukaryota; Viridiplantae; Streptophyta; Magnoliopsida; Malpighiales; Euphorbiaceae.
GUGAGUUUGUGAGACCAAGAAGAAUUGAGACGAAGGUCAAAGGCUCGGACCUGGCGAGCACCUCUGCGGACCAGCUCCAGACAGAGUGCGGAGCCGACGAAGCCCAGCCCACCAGUCACCACGAAGGUGUUGCCUUCUAUCCCUUCGUUUUCGCUCAAGUGCAUUUUCAAGAUUUAUUAUUUUUCUCUCUUUCUGCCUUUCUUUUGAUGGAAGAUGCACUCUGGGCUGCGUCUAGAGGGAGGAGGCUGUGCCAAUACUUGUAUCUUCACGAUAUCAUUUCUU